AAACAAAUGAAGACUUGGCAUGGCAUGGCCAGAGUUGACCAGAAACAGACUUGGCAUAACAGAAACACAACUCACCGACAGCAGGUUACACAUUUUAAAGCUAAACAAAGAACAAAGGCAACAUGAGGGCUAUUUAUAGCCAACAAUACAGGUCACAUGACAAGAACCAACCAAUGAGAGACGGGACACAUGACUAAGACAACCAAUGAGAACAUGACACAAUGAACAGAGGAACCAAUAGCAGGAAUAAAAGAGGGCAAGGGAAGCUUGACACAAACAGCAUAAAUCAAAGUACAAAAUAAAAGACAUGAAAACAAGUCAAGCCAAGUCACCUUUAUUUAUAUAGCACUUUAAACAAAACAGAUUAUGUCAAAGCAACUGAACAACAUUAAUUAGGAAAACAGUGUGUCAAUAAUGCAAAAUGACAGUUAAAGGAAGUUCAUCAUUGAAUUCAGUGAUGUCAUCAUGCAGUUCAGUUCAUUUUAAAUAGUAUCUGUGCAAUCAUUUGCAAUCAAGUCAAUGAUAUCACUGUAAAUUAAGUGUCCCCAACUAAGCAAGCCAGAGGCGACAGCGGCAAGGAACCAAAACUCCAUUGGUGACAGAAUUGAGAAAAAACCUUGGGAGAAACUAGGCUCAGUCGGGGGGCCAGUUCUCCUCUGACCAGACGAAACCAGCAGUUCAAUUCCAGGCUGCAGCAAAGUCAGAUUGUGCAGAGGAUUCAACUGGUUCCUGUGGUCUUGUCCCAUUGGUCGUCUGAGACAAGGUCUUUACAGGGGAUCUGUAUCUGGGGCUCAUCUAGUUGUCCUGGUCUCUGCUGACAUUCAGGGCUGUAGAGAUCCUUUCUAGGUGCUGAUCCACCAUCUGGGCUGGAUACGUACUGGAUCCGGGUGACUGCAGUGACCAUCUGACCUGGAUACAGACUGGAUCUGGUAGCUAUGGUAACGUCGGAAUAAGAGAGAAACAGACUUAUAUUAGCGUAGAUGCCAUUCUUCUAACGAUGUAGCAAGUACAUCAGGGGUUAUGGGAAGUGUUCCCGGUUCCAGUUUAACUAAUUAAUGCAGCCUAAAAAUCCUUUAACAGAUUUGGAUAUUAGAAGCAUUUUAGUGUGUUAUGUGUAAGCCAGGUUAAAGAGAUGGGUCUUUAAUCUAGAUUUAAACUGCAAGAGUGUGUCUGCCUCCUGAACAAUGUUAGGUAGGUUAUUCAAGAAUUUAGGCGCGAAGUAGGAAAAGGAUCUGCCGCCCGCAGUUGACUUUGAUAUUCUAGGUAUUAUCAAAUUGCCAGAGUUUUAAGAACGCAGCGGAUGUGGAGGACUAUAAUGUAACAAGAGCUCGUUCAAAUACUGAGGUGCUAAACCAUUCAGGGCUUUAUAAGUAAUAAGCAAGAUUUUAAAAUCUAUACAAUGUUUAAUAGGUAGCCAGUGCAGUGUUGACAGGACCGGGCUAAUAUGAUCAUACUUCCUGGUUCUAGUAAGAACUCU
Molecule: long non-coding RNA, 1477 nt
Organism: Cyprinus carpio carpio
Lineage: Eukaryota; Metazoa; Chordata; Actinopteri; Cypriniformes; Cyprinidae
Source: Ensembl